GUUUAACUAGGUCAGAAUCCUCGAUUGAUUGCACCCAUUUGACUCCAUUAUCUCACUGCAGUUCGCCCCUUUCCUCCCUCUUGCUCUGUUACUUCUCCCUCUUCCUCGCCAUUGUUCACCGGCGCCGAUUGGUCAAGCACUGUUCUUCUUAAAGGUAAUGUUUCUUCUCUAAAUAGCUACUGAACAUUAUUUAUUGCUCCUAUUAUGAACAUAAAAUUCUAUCAGUGUUAGCUUUGAUUUCACAUUGGGGGUUGUUUAAGUGGGUUGAAUAGAUGAACUUGAUGUGGGUAUGAUAUUAUAUAAUGCAAUACUUGAAAUAGUUUAGUUUGUUCUUCCAUUUAGUGUAUGUAAACUGGUAUAUGGUUUUUCCCAUGUGAAAGCUUUGCUCAAAGUUUUCCUUUUCUAUUUCCUUUAUUUAAUAAUUGUACUAAAGCCAUGAAAUAGUGGUUCAUUGUGAUAAGAUAUGAUUUCAAGUGAUUGAUUAGUUAUAACUUUACUACGUAUAUAUGCAGUAAUAUAUAUGAACAAUAAUUUUCAGUCAUUUUUUACAUGAUUUCAAGUGUGUAAACUUUCUGUAAGUUCAACAAAAAGGCAUGUAUUAUCAUAUUAAUUAAGCUAUAUUAUGAGCAUAUAUAUAAAUAACACUUGGGUUAAUUAUCUGUAGUUUUGUGUUAUAUAUAAAGCUAUAUUAUUUAUGUGAUUUGAAAAAGAGAAAAGAACUACUUUUAUACAAGUAUAAUUGCUUGAUUAGAGGGCCUUCCAUAAUAUUUAGGGUUUAUAAUGAUUCUCUUUUCUUUUACACAUGCUUGGGUUUAUAAUAUUUUGAGACAUGAUUCUAAAUGAACUCUGUUUAUUGACUGUCUCUUGUUGUAUGCAUCAAUAUUAUCAUACAAAAAUCCUUUGUUGAUCAAAAGUACUUAAAGUCAUUAGUGUAUAUGGAUUCUUGUAUAUUCUAGAUUUUCCAAAUUCAUUUAGCGACUGUACUUCUUGAAGGUAGUUCAAAAGCUUACGUAAUUAUAACUCUUGUUCUAGCUCAACUAUUAGAUGUUGAAACUUCUGGUCUGGUUUCUCCGAGCUGUUGAAGGGGAAAAAAUAAAACAUUCGAACCUCUAUAGUUAUUAACAUUCAUCCUUUGUUGGGGCUUAGUUUGUAUAUAAUUAUGUCCUUGAGCUCUGUAUUUGUCUCUGUAUUAUGUCAAGUGUUUUUGAUUAUGUUGCUAAAAAUAAAAUAUGUUGGAACACAUUCUUUUAUAGUUGACAUUGUCAAUUUUUUUACAAUUAUAAAAUGACAUAAUCUUCUUAAUUUAUCAUAAUUACUAUUCAGCGGAUACUUCAAUUUCUUUCUAUAUAUAUAUUGUCAUAUAGUUUAGGAAGCUUAGAAACCCGUUUGAGAUUCACUUAGUAGGAGUGAAUCUCAAAUAGUCCCCGUUUUGGGACUGUUCUUGUAUGUUUCGAUCUCACUUAGGUCGGUGUUAACGACUUGAGCACGUCUUUAUAUUUUUUGAAUUUUCGGUCAGUAUAUAUCUCUUGAUGUUCUUCGGGUGCAUAUUUAGACUACGAUGUGUUAGUCUAUUUCGUGUACUUGAAGACCAUGGGGAGGUGCUGCCGAAAAUUCUGAAAAAUGUAAAGAUGUGUUCAAGUUGUUGGCAUCAGUGAGGCGACUCAUAAGCUUGCAUAUACAUUAACUUGGAGACUUGAUUGUGUUUAUCUAACUUUUCAUAUAUAUAGCAGACAGUUGUCCGAGAUGUCUGUUGAUCGAAGUNNNNNNNNNNNNNNNNNNNNNNNNNNNNNNNNNNNNNNNNNNNNNNNNNNNNNNNNNNNNNNNNNNNNNNNNNNNNNNNNNNNNNNNNNNNNNNNNNNNNAUGGUCGACUCAUGGGGGCUUAUCAUGUCCUGUGUGCAUGGGGUCAGUUAAAGCUGUGCGGCUCAAACAUGGGGGAAAAAUGAGUUUUUUCACAACAUCCAGACAGUUUUUGCCGAUUGAACAUCGUUAUCGACGGAUGAGUAGACAAUUCAAUCGAAAAACAGAGAAACGUCAAGUACCUGGCCGUCUUUCUGGGUCAGCAGUGUUGAGUUGGAUUAGUCAUUUGAAGUUUCCACCUCCAGGGAAGAAUCACAGAUUAGAGCGAGCUUAUGGUUACGGUAAGGUUCACAACUGGACACACAGAUCCAUGUUUUUUGACCUGCCUUAUUGGGCUACACUCUGCAUCCGUCAUUGUUUAGAUCCGAUGCAUACUGAGAAGAACGUAUUUGAUAAUAUUUUUUAUACAGUCAUAGAUGCCACUGAUAGAACAAAGGACAACAACAAGUAGAGGCUUGAUUUGGUAGAAAUGAACAUUAAGGAAGAUUUGUGGCUGUAUCAGGAGGGUAGUAAGACGGUAACGCCUAAAGAUGAAUAUACUUUGACCAGGGAAUAGUUGAUAUUGAUAUGUAAUUGGAUCAGUGGACUGAAGCUCCCAGAUGGAUAUUCUUCGAAUAUAGCAAGGNNNNNNNNNNNNNNNNNNNNNNNNNNNNNNNNNNNNNNNNNNNNNNNNNNNNNNNNNNNNNNNNNNNNNNNNNNNNNNNNNNNNNNNNNNNNNNNNNNNNCGUUGUAAAGUUGAAGAGCUGAAGUUUCGGGGUCUCAAAAGUCAUGAUUGUCACGUAUUCAUAUAGAAGCUGAUCCCUGUGGCAUUUAUCGACUUGUUACCGAAACGUGUGGUUAAAGCACUGACAGAGCUUUCUAAUUUCUUCAGAGAUCUAUGCUUGACGGAGCUUCAGGUCAAAGACAUAGAUAAAAUGGAGAUGCAGAUAGUGGAAAUAAUGUGCAAGUUAGAAAUGAUCUUCCCUCCAUCGUUUUUUGAUUCAAUGGAGCAUUUACCUAUUCACUUGCCAUACGAAGCUAAGUUUGGCGGUCCCGUACAAUAUAGAUGGAUGUAUCCAUUCGAGAGGUAAUGACAUUAAUGUUUUUAAUACGGUAAAAUGUUCAUUAUUUUUUUGUUAAUCUAUAUAUCACAUAGGUAUAUGCGACGUCUAAAGCAAAAGGUGAAGAAUAGAGCCCGUGUAGAGGGGUCGAUUGCUGAAAGUUAUGUUAUGGAGGAACUUGUUAAUUUCUGCUCGUUGUACUUUGAGCCGAAUGUUCAUACGAAGCACAAUCGCUUACGUCGGAAUCAGGCUGUUGCGCACGAGGAAAAUGGAGAAUUAACUGCCUUUAGUCAUCCUGUACGCCCAUUCGGCGGUAAAAAAAGGCGAUUCUUGACCGAUAGUGAGUAUGCAGCUGCCACAUUGUAUGCACUUGUCAACAUGAAUGAAGUAGCGCCAUACAUUAAGUAAGUAGUCAUAACUAUAUAUGCCUGGUGUAAUUGUGUCAAGUUCCUUUCCAAACACAUUGAGUAUAUAACUGUGUUGCAGUCAAUAUGAUGUUGAAGUACGUGAAGCGAAUCCGAGUAUAUCGGACGAGGAUUUGCAAAAUUUGAGAAAUGGAGAAUUUGUGCAAUGGUUUAAGGAUCAUGUAAGUCUAACCUUUAAACGUUCAAUGAAUCUACCAUCAUAGACUUAUUCUUAUGGCGUAAUUAACUUUAGAAUAUGUUGUGUUAAUGUACAUUAGGUCCUCACAGAUGAGUUAGCUGACAAUCGACUAAAGCUUAUAGCCGACGGCCCCGAAAGAUCUGUAGAUACUUAUACAUGUUGCAUUGUCAACGGUUACAGAUUUAAGUGUUGCGAUAUUGGGGAAGUCGCUUCUGUUGAUUCUGGUGUUGUGGUGAAAGGUAGCUGCUACGAUAACAUUUGGGAUGACUGGUAUGGACGAUUGCUAGAAGUUGUCGUUCUCAAAUAUUGGGGUCAUAAAGAAUUAGUUUGCUUCAAUUGUCAUUGGUUUGAUGUUCAGAAUGGAGUUAAAGUAGAUAAAAAUUCAGGACGGGUGACUGUUAAUGUUAAGUCAAAACUAAGACUGAUGAGUGGUAUGGACGAGCCUUUUAUUUUAGCAAGUCAAGCGACACAGGUGUACUACGCGCGGAGUGUUAAGACUCCUGCAAGCCCAUGGCAUGCUGUUAUAACCACCAAAGCCCGUGGUUUUCAAGGCACAACUCCUCGUCCAGACGAUGAACCUUUACAAGUCGAGUCUACUAGUGUCACACCUGCUGAUGUGACAAUUAUUAGUGAGUCUAGUGAAGAAGAGGAUGAUGUUGUCGCUGUCGAAAGUGAAGAUGAUGUUGUUGAGGAGGUAAAUAUAAUUGAAGAAAUCGUUGAAGACGACGAAGAUGGUGAUGACAACGAUAGUGAAGAUCUACUGCUCGAAGAUGACGAUUCUGAUAUUGAUGGCUUUGACGAUAUAAAUGAUUAGGAGUAUGUACUAUUUGUGUCAUUUUAGUUGUAUUCAAAUGUAAUAGUUUGUAGUAGUGCAAUCAUUAUCUUCAACUUAUAUUAAUCUACUAAAUAAGGUGUUGAGUUGUUUUAGGAGUAUGUACUAUUUGUGUCAGUUUAGGUUAUUAUUUAUGCUGUAUCCUUUUAGGUUACUAUUUAUGUUGCAUUCUUUUAAUUGUAUCCUUUUAGGUUACUAUUUAUGCUGUAACUUUUUAGGUUACUAUUUAUGUUGCAUUCUUUUAAUUGUAUCUGUAUGUUAUCCUCUAUGUUAUCCCUCUUUUACUGUAUGUUGCAUUCUUUUAGUUGACAGUAUACAUACAUAUGGCGCGCACACCACACGGCGAUCGUGGUGGGCGUGCAGGUCGUGGGGGCCGUGGAGAUUCUACGCGUGAUGAUCAGGCGGGAUCGUCAG
RNAcentral lists this long non-coding RNA (4747 nucleotides) under Panax ginseng (ginseng). RNAcentral describes it as "long non-coding RNA (PGIN_LNC009296)". The record is from RNAcentral. Lineage: Eukaryota; Viridiplantae; Streptophyta; Magnoliopsida; Apiales; Araliaceae.